RNAcentral lists this unclassified non-coding RNA (328 nucleotides) under soil metagenome. RNAcentral's name for it is "partial contains 5.8S ribosomal RNA, internal transcribed spacer 2, and large subunit ribosomal RNA". The stretch from base 5 to 119 matches the Rfam family "5.8S ribosomal RNA", at positions 40 to 154 of the family's 154-position model. The record is from RNAcentral.
GAUGAGAACGCAGCGAAAUGCGAUAAGUAAUGUGAAUUGCAGAAUUCAGUGAAUCAUCGAAUCUUUGAACGCACAUUGCGCCCCCUGGUAUUCCGGGGGGCAUGCCUGUCCGAGCGUCAUUACAACCCUCAAGCUCAGCUUGGUGUUGGGCCCCGCCGCCCCGGCGGGCCCUAAAGUCAGUGGCGGUGCCGUCCGGCUCCGAGCGUAGUAAUUCUUCUCGCUCUGGAGGCCCGGUCGUGUGCUCGCCAGCAACCCCCAAUUUUUUUCAGGUUGACCUCGGAUCAGGUAGGGAUACCCGCUGAACUUAAGCAUAUCAAUAAGCGGAGGA